This 397-nucleotide ribosomal RNA is filed under the name uncultured bacterium. Its description in RNAcentral is "partial 16S ribosomal RNA". It matches the Rfam family "Bacterial small subunit ribosomal RNA", at positions 523 to 918 of the family's 1533-position model. The record is from RNAcentral.
AUACGUAGGGGGCGAGCGUUGUCCGGAAUGAUUGGGCGUAAAGGGCGCGUAGGCGGCCCGGUAAGUCUGGAGUGAAAGUCCUGUUUUUAAGAUGGGAAUUGCUUUGGAUACUGUCGGGCUUGAGUGCAGGAGAGGUAAGUGGAAUUCCCAGUGUAGCGGUGAAAUGCGUAGAGAUUGGGAGGAACACCAGUGGCGAAGGCGGGUAACUGGACUGCAACUGACGCUGAGGCGCGAAAGUGUGGGGAGCAAACAGGAUUAGAUACCCUGGUAGUCCACACUGUAAACGAUGAAUGCUAGGUGUAAGAGGUAUCGACCCCUUUUGUGCCGGAGUUAACACAAUAAGCAUUCCGCCUGGGGAGUACGGCCGCAAGGUUGAAACUCAAAGGAAUUGACGGGG